This 490-nucleotide ribosomal RNA is filed under the name uncultured bacterium. Its description in RNAcentral is "partial 16S ribosomal RNA". It matches the Rfam family "Bacterial small subunit ribosomal RNA", at positions 29 to 507 of the family's 1533-position model. The record is from RNAcentral.
AUUGAACGCUGGCGGCAUGCCUUACACAUGCAAGUCGAACGGCAUCGCGGGAAAGCUUGCUUUCCUGGCGGCGAGUGGCGAACGGGUGAGUAACACAUCGGAACGUACCGGCUAGUGGGGGAUAACCCGUCGAAAGACGGGCUAAUACCGCAUACGCUCUUCGGAGGAAAGCAGGGGAACUUUGGGCCUUGCGCUAGUCGAGCGGCCGAUGUCCGAUUAGCUAGUUGGUGGGGUAAAGGCCUACCAAGGCGACGAUCGGUAGCGGGUCUGAGAGGACGAUCCGCCACACUGGGACUGAGACACGGCCCAGACUCCUACGGGAGGCAGCAGUGGGGAAUCUUGGACAAUGGGGGCAACCCUGAUCCAGCAAUGCCGCGUGGGUGAAGAAGGCCUUCGGGUUGUAAAGCCCUUUCGGCAGGGAAGAAAUCGGCGGGGCGAAUAACCCUGCUGGAUGACGGUACCUGCAGAAGAAGCACCGGCUAACUACGUG